RNAcentral lists this long non-coding RNA (251 nucleotides) under Mytilus galloprovincialis (Mediterranean mussel). The record is from RNAcentral. Lineage: Eukaryota; Metazoa; Mollusca; Bivalvia; Mytilida; Mytilidae.
GCUUGGACAUAUUUUAUCGAAGUAUUAAACAAUGAAACCAUGAACUGUUCAUAUUUUCUAUUUAAAUAAUCAUCAUACUUGCAAAUAGAACACACAAGUAGCAAGCCAGGGUUAGAACCCUUAUUAGUUCAUAAAAAAUGAAUUGCAAUUCAUCUUUGAUCAGAUUAAGAUGAUAUGUUGACCCACACGUAGUCUACGUUGUCUUCCUUUGUCUCUCUCUCUGUAUGAGUACUUUUUUUUUAUCAUUUGAC